AUUGAACGCUGGCGGCAGGCCUAACACAUGCAAGUCGAGCGGAUGAAGGGAGCUUGCUCCUGGAUUCAGCGGCGGACGGGUGAGUAAUGCCUAGGAAUCUGCCUGGCUGUGGGGGAUAACGUCCGGAAACGGGCGCUAAUACCGCAUACGCCCUGAGGGCGAAAGUGGGGGAGCUUCGGACCUCACGCUCUCAGAUGAGCCUAGGUCGGAUUAGCUAGUUGGUGGGGUAAAGGCCUACCAAGGCGACGAUCCGUAACUGGUCUGAGAGGAUGAUCAGUCACACUGGAACUGAGACACGGUCCAGACUCCUACGGGAGGCAGCAGUGGGGAAUAUUGGACAAUGGGCGAAAGCCUGAUCCAGCCAUGCCGCGUGUGUGAAGAAGGUCUUCGGAUUGUAAAGCACUUUAAGUUGGGAGGAAGGGCAGUAAGUUAAUACCUUGCUGUUUUGACGUUACCAACAGAAUAAGCACCGGCUAACUUCGUG
RNAcentral lists this ribosomal RNA (484 nucleotides) under uncultured bacterium. RNAcentral describes it as "partial 16S ribosomal RNA". It matches the Rfam family "Bacterial small subunit ribosomal RNA", at positions 30 to 507 of the family's 1533-position model. The record is from RNAcentral.